This 764-nucleotide ribosomal RNA is filed under the name uncultured bacterium. RNAcentral's name for it is "bacterial SSU rRNA". It matches the Rfam family "Bacterial small subunit ribosomal RNA", at positions 8 to 796 of the family's 1533-position model. The record is from RNAcentral.
AGAGUUUGAUCCUGGCUCAGGACGAACGCUGGCGGCAUGCCUAACACAUGCAAGUCUAGGGUUGCCUUCGGGUAACACUGGCGGACGGGUGAGUAACACGUAGGUAAUCUGCCUCUAUCUCAGUGAUAACUCUCGGAAACGGGAGCUAAACACUGGCACGGAACUUCGGUUUCAAAGGGUGACCGGAUAGAGAUGAGCCUGCGGCUGAUUAGCUAGUUGGAGAGGUAAUGGCUCCCCAAGGCGACGAUCAGUAGCUGGUCUGAGAGGACGAACAGCCACACUGGAACUGAGACACGGUCCAGACUCCUACGGGAGGCAGCAGUGAGGAAUAUUGCACAAUGGGGGAAACCCUGAUGCAGCGAUGCCGUGUGCGGGAUGAAGGGGCUUUGCCUCGUAAACCGCUGUCGGAUGGGACGAAAGGGUUCUUAGAGGACCUGGGACUGUACCAUAAGAGGAAGGGACGGCUAACUACGUGCCAGCAGCCGCGGUAAUACGUAGGUCCCGAGCGUUGUCCGGAAUUACUGGGUAUAAAGGGUGCGCAGGCGGUCUUGUGCGUCAGAAGUGAAAUAUCACGGCUCAACCGUGAGGGUGCUUUUGAUACGGCAAGACUUGAGUACGGGAGAGGAUGAUGGAAUUCCUGGUGUAGCAGUGAAAUGCGUAGAUAUCAGGAGGAACACCGGUGGCGAAGGCGGUCAUCUGGCCCGGUACUGACGCUCAGGCACGAAAGUGUGGGUAGCGAACAGGAUUAGAUACCCUGGUAGUCC